AAGAAAAGCAAGACGAGUUCUUGGUUUGCCUCUGCCUGUGAGGUUUAAACCUACGUCUUCCAAUUGCCAUGGGAGUACCCCAACCACAAGACUGCAGGUGACGCUGGGUGGAGAAAGCAUUUCUGCAUUCCUUGGUCAAGCUGUGGGACUGCACAGGAAAGACUUAUGAAAUUCCCACGACCCUUUGUGAGGAAAAAAGGAUGACUGGAUCCUGGGGCAUUUCCCCUUUUCUCUUCAAUCUGAUGUCUGUUUAUCUAGACAGAAUAUGAGAUUCAGAUUUGGGAAGGGGGAGUGGCAAUUUUGGGACUGAGUCAAGCAAGCAUUUAAUAAGUAAAGGAUACAGAUUUAUACCCUCUACAUCCUUCAAAUCUCAGUCUAGCUCUGUAGUACAAAAUACCCAUACAGCUAUAUCCAAAACUUAAGACAAUCCUCUUUUUAAUCAUUAGGCCACAGACUCAUAUUCUCCUUGUAAAGUCACCUUGAGGGACUACGGAUCUUUCAUUUCUUUCUCUCUACUCAUUGGAGUAGCUUGAAUGAGGAAAUGAAUGCUUUCUUCUCUCCACCUCCCGGUGCCCGACAUCUCACCCUCACCUGAUAACUGGAGGUUUAGGUUGGUUUCAUGGGAAAUGGAAACUCUGAACCCCUGAGGCUGAGGAGGGCCCAGAGCCCACUGUUCCACUUCCUGGGUGAGUGCUUUCAUCCCGGGGUUAUUACAGGAGCGGAGGGCACUGGCACUACCGUCUCCUCCUCCGCCAGCUGCAUUUAAAAGAAGAAAGCAACUAUGACUGCAUUCUUGAAGGGUGUGAUCCUGCGAGCAAGAGCAUGGAAGGGACAGUAAUAACUUUUGAAGAGCUACUUCCCCCACAGCAUCCUACCAGCCAGUCCCAGCCCAACCAGUGCCUGUGUCUGGGAGACAAUUUAGUUACUUCCACACUUUCCUGGAAAGAUUUUGCCUGGCACACUCCUGUCUCAGCAGGAAAGGGAUUGCUCCAGGCUAGUUUUGAUAGAAGAAUUUGUUCCUCAAAAGAAGCAAGGAUUUUCCACCAGUACUUCAAGGACCAUCAGCUGAUGCAAACAGAUUCACUGGUGCUCAGUGGAUCUGAAGGGGUCAAAUAGGUGCUGCUGCCAUCUUUAAGGAAAUUUCAGCAUCUGUGCUUCCUGCUGCCCAGUGGGAACUGUGAAUUGGGCAGUGAACCCUAUAGAAAUGGGUUCACAGGAGGCUGGUCCUCCUCCUGGGGUUGUAUAUUUAUGGUCAAGUACAUGGCCGGAUGAGAUAUUAUGACAUCAUGGGUUUUGCCAAGCCCUUCUCAGCUUUGCUAGUCCAGGUAACAGGACUUUCCCUCAGUGGGAGCAGAGAAUAACUUUGGUACAAGCUGCCCUGCUGAAGAGGUACAGAGGUUAAUCUAUGAAAUUGGAAGAGAAGGUUUUAGUCUCUUCCCACUCAGAAAUCAUUCAUGUAAUUGUACCUCACACCUAGACUAACACCCUACCUCACCUUAGCUGUAACUGAAAAAAAAAAAAAAAAAAAAGCAGUAUCAGCAUGCUAGAGGCACGACUAUAUCAAAAGUUUAGAGUGAAGUACAGGCAUUUUGCCUUUGGGCACCCAAACUGAGGCAUCUAAAGUGACUGGUAUCCGGUCAGUUGGUACUCAGAAGUUUCUAAAAAUCAGCACGUGGAAAUACCGAAGAAAAGAUCACAAAUUUAAGAACCUUUCUGUCUAAAACCCGUUCUCACUGGGUAAUUUUGGAACAACUUCCACACCCCCACUCCAAAAUGCUUUUAGGAGAUUGAAAUAACCAUGGAAACACUUUGCAUUUGAGGUCAGAGACAAAACUGCUCCAAAACUGACACCUUACCUACCAUGUUCCCAGUCUGGUGGAAAUACUGCAUCUGAAAUUGAAAGGUUUAUGUUGAAAAUGUUGACACAGCCCUAAAUUGGAGUGAUGUGGGUGUCAGGGAGGAGCAUGGGGGUGAGGGCUUUUUGAAUCAGUCCUUCUUUUAAUCCUUGGAAAGGGCCUGUAGAAAAGAUUCAUUUUCUAUAUCGAGUUUCAUUCAUUGAAAGGAUUCCAAAGAUAAAACUCAUAAACUGUGCAAACACAGAUACAAUGUGGGUGAAAGGGUUAAGGGACUGAAGAAGACUCAGUAAUUCUCACAAAUGGGGACCAGAUGUUGUUUGACAUUUUAAAAACAUGCAGUCUCCUCUACCCCUACUUACCUUUCUGAUACUGUGAAUUGUUCAGUUGAGAUCAAUGAGGAAUUACUGAACACGUAGUUUAUUUUCCAUGGUGUCUUCUGUUUGUUUCAAAAAACACAUGGGGAAAAGAAUAAGGAUGCAUUAAUAAUAGCAAGAGCCACUCUCAGCUGGCAUAAAUUGGCAUGGUUCCACCAAAGUCAAUAGGAGAGCUCUGAUUUACAGCAGAUGGGCUUUUGUCCAUCAGUGCGAUAUCCUAUACCAAGCGAUAUGACAAGAGCUGUUUACAGACUAUGUCAUGUUGUUCAAUAUUAUGGCUGAGAAGGGCUGUGCCAGGUCAAAUGCUGUGGUGGAAAGUACGCCAAUACAGAACCACAGCUGUAUACACAGGAGUUUUAAAAUCCCAGGAGAAAAGAGUUGCACAUCUAAGAAUGAGAAUAAAGGUGCCAAUAGUAUUGGUCA
RNAcentral lists this long non-coding RNA (2653 nucleotides) under Anas platyrhynchos platyrhynchos (common mallard). RNAcentral describes it as "lncRNA (ENSAPLG00000016616.1)". The record is from RNAcentral. Lineage: Eukaryota; Metazoa; Chordata; Aves; Anseriformes; Anatidae.